GUAGGUGGCAAGCGUUGUCCGGAUUUAUUGGGGCGUAAAGCGAGCGCAGGCGGUUCCUUAAGUCUGAUGUGAAAGCCCACGGCUCAACCGUGGGAAGGGUCAUUGGGAAACUGGGGGACUUGAGUGCAGAAGAGGAGAGUGGAAUUCCAUGUGUAGCGGUGAAAUGCGUAGAUAUAUGGAGGAACACCAGUGGCGAAGGCGACUCUCUGGUCUGUAACUGAUGCUGAGGCUCGAAAGCGUGGGGAGCAAACAGGAUUAGAUACCCUGGUAGUCCACGCCGUAAACGAUGAGUGCUAAGUGUUGGAGGGUUUCCACCCUUCAGUGCUGCAGCUAACGCAUUAAGCACUCCGCCUGGGGAGUACGGCCGCAAAGGCUG
RNAcentral lists this ribosomal RNA (376 nucleotides) under uncultured organism. RNAcentral describes it as "partial 16S ribosomal RNA". It matches the Rfam family "Bacterial small subunit ribosomal RNA", at positions 527 to 896 of the family's 1533-position model. The record is from RNAcentral.